AGAGAGCAGCCACCAUGGAAAAGAUCAAGGAUGCCUGUGAGAACUGGGGCUUCUUUGAGGUAUGUCUGAACCUCCUUUUCUUAAAAAAUGCUAUCUCCCAGCCUUCCAUCGUUCCUCUUCUUCUAAAAACGGGUGUUUUUUGUUUUCUUUUGAACUCUUUUAGCUACUGAACCAUGGCAUAUCCCAUGAGUUCUUGGACACCGUAGAGAGGAUGACAAAGGAGCACUACAAGAAAUGCAUGGAGCAAAGGUUCAAGGAAUUGGUGGCAAGCAAAGCCCUUGAGGGUGUCCAAACAGAGAUCAAAGACUUGGAUUGGGAGAGCACCUUCCAGUUACGCCAUCUCCCUAA
RNAcentral lists this long non-coding RNA (348 nucleotides) under Populus tremula. RNAcentral's name for it is "long non-coding RNA (PTRE_LNC000981)". Lineage: Eukaryota; Viridiplantae; Streptophyta; Magnoliopsida; Malpighiales; Salicaceae. The record is from RNAcentral.